Molecule: non-coding RNA, 117 nt
Filed under: Pan paniscus (pygmy chimpanzee)
Lineage: Eukaryota; Metazoa; Chordata; Mammalia; Primates; Hominidae
Also listed under: 1 other name
Source: Rfam by way of RNAcentral
ACCAGGCAUGAUGGCUCAUGCCUGUAAUCCCAGCACUUUGGGAGGCUGAGGCAGGAGGAUUGUUUGAGCCCAGGAGUUUGACACAAGCCUGGGCAAUAUAGUGAGAACCUGUCUCUU